This is a long non-coding RNA of Panthera uncia (snow leopard), 591 nucleotides long. RefSeq lists it as uncharacterized. The transcript is spliced from 2 exons. The record is from RefSeq and is a predicted model, not a curated record. NCBI's taxonomy places the organism in Eukaryota, Metazoa, Chordata, Mammalia, Carnivora, Felidae.
CAAUGAGAGGAAUCACUUCAGACAAGCUAGGGAAUGAUGUCAUAAAGGGCGUGGUAUUUCUGCUAAGAACUGAAGGCUCUGAUUGCACCAGCAGGGAGAAGGACUUAAAGUAAGAAAUAAGAAUGUGAGCAAAGUCAGGCGGCUUUAAGAUGUGACAGAAAAACAGCUCAUUUUGUCACGAGCACAUUAAAGGGAAUGAGAGUAGAUAACUAAAAGAAGGUUACGAACAUAGUACUGAAGAUUCUACACAGAUUUUACUUCGGGGCAAUGAAAAGCACCAGCCUUUUCAGUAGCUACCUCAAAUUUUAAGAUUUCUAUUAAAUAUGGAAGAAAGAAGAAAAGAAACGAAAAAACGAAAAAGAAAAAAAGAAAAAAGAAAAUUCGGACAAAGUACUUCUUCAGUAUAAUCACCUAAAAGUACGUAAUAGAGUUCAAAGACUCUGAAGAACUAAAGCUAUAUGGAAAUCAUCUUAUAGGCUCUUUCCUGGAUAAUUGGAAAUAUUCUUUGUUCUAAACACAAUUCAUUUUCUUUGCACCAAUUAUCAGAGUACAAUACUUGUCAUGCUGUUAUUAAAUUCAGAAACACACAAA